ACGUACGACCAUACGCAGUAGAAAACUCGGGAUCCCGUCCGCUCUCCCCUAGAUAAGCUACUGACGGCCAGAUUAGUAGUUGGGUCGGUGACGACCAGCGAAUCCCUGGUGUUGUACGUU
This 120-nucleotide ribosomal RNA is filed under the name Thermothielavioides terrestris NRRL 8126. Lineage: Eukaryota; Fungi; Ascomycota; Sordariomycetes; Sordariales; Chaetomiaceae. The record is from RNAcentral.